This 388-nucleotide ribosomal RNA is filed under the name uncultured bacterium. Its description in RNAcentral is "partial 16S ribosomal RNA". It matches the Rfam family "Bacterial small subunit ribosomal RNA", at positions 355 to 734 of the family's 1533-position model. The record is from RNAcentral.
UGGGGAAUAUUGCACAAUGGGCGCAAGCCUGAUGCAGCCAUGCCGCGUGUGUGAAGAAGGCCUUCGGUUGUAAAGCACUUUCAGCGAGGAGGAAGGUGGUGAACUUAAUACGUUCAUCAAUUGACGUUACUCGCAGAAGAAGCACCGGCUAACUCCGUGCCAGCAGCCGCGGUAAUACGGAGGGUGCAAGCGUUAAUCGGAAUUACUGGGCGUAAAGCGCACGCAGGCGGUUUGUUAAGUCAGAUGUGAAAUCCCCGGGCUCAACCUGGGAACUGCAUUUGAAACUGGCAAGCUAGAGUCUCGUAGAGGGGGGUAGAAUUCCACGGUGUAGCAGUGAAAUGCGUAGAGAAUGUGGAGGAAUACCGAUGGCGAAGGCAGCCCCCUGGGC